Molecule: transfer RNA, 60 nt
Filed under: Anisakis simplex (herring worm)
Lineage: Eukaryota; Metazoa; Nematoda; Chromadorea; Rhabditida; Anisakidae
Rfam family: tRNA
About the family: Transfer RNA (tRNA) molecules are approximately 80 nucleotides in length. Their secondary structure includes four short double-helical elements and three loops (D, anti-codon, and T loops).
Source: Rfam by way of RNAcentral
GACCAGGUGGCCGAGUGGUUAAGGCGAUGGACUGCUAAUCCAUUGGGGUUUUCCUUGUUU